This 404-nucleotide unclassified non-coding RNA is filed under the name Hevea brasiliensis (rubber tree). The record is from RNAcentral. Lineage: Eukaryota; Viridiplantae; Streptophyta; Magnoliopsida; Malpighiales; Euphorbiaceae.
AUAUUCACCACCACCAAGAUCCUCUGCCAAAUGUAAAAAUGAGCUUUUAGUUUAUCAAUGAAGCCCUUUUUUUGGUGCACAUGCAUGUGUGCAGGGAGCAAAUUUAUAUUAUCUGUUAUCUCUACUAUGUACUGGGCCCUGUUGCUGCAACCAAUUUGGCACGUAGGCUACACUAUUCUAAUUGUAAUUUCAGCAUAUUUUCAUCAAUUCAAACUUCUGAUUUUACCUAGUUCUUUUGGCUCAGAUAAUAUAAAUUAUCAUUUUUGGCUCAGGCAAUAUAAAUUAGCAAAGUGGUAUCAAGUAGAGCCAUGCCCGUAAUUCCAUGGAUUGAAUAGUAAAUAUAGACAACCAAUUAAAAGUUUAGGAACUGGAACAAAUACCAAGGUGUUGAUGAAGCGUCGGAU